RNAcentral lists this non-coding RNA (23 nucleotides) under Mus musculus (house mouse). Lineage: Eukaryota; Metazoa; Chordata; Mammalia; Rodentia; Muridae. The record is from RNAcentral.
UGAGGACUCUCGGCCGGCUGCCU